Molecule: ribosomal RNA, 497 nt
Filed under: uncultured bacterium
Lineage: Bacteria
Description: partial 16S ribosomal RNA
Rfam family: Bacterial small subunit ribosomal RNA
Source: RNAcentral
GAUGAACGCUGGCGGCGUGCCUAUUACAUGCAAGUCGAGCGAACAGAUAAGGAGCUUGCUCCUUUGACGUUAGCGGCGGACGGGUGAGUAACACGUGGGUAACCUACCUAUAAGACUGGAAUAACUCCGGGAAACCGGGGCUAAUGCCGGAUAACAUUUAGAACCGCAUGGUUCUAAAGUGAAAGAUGGUUUUGCUAUCACUUAUAGAUGGACCCGCGCCGUAUUAGCUAGUUGGUAAGGUAACGGCUUACCAAGGCAACGAUACGUAGCCGACCUGAGAGGGUGAUCGGCCACACUGGAACUGAGACACGGUCCAGACUCCUACGGGAGGCAGCAGUAGGGAAUCUUCCGCAAUGGGCGAAAGCCUGACGGAGCAACGCCGCGUGAGUGAUGAAGGUCUUCGGAUCGUAAAACUCUGUUAUUAGGGAAGAACAAAUGUGUAAGUAACUGUGCACGUCUUGACGGUACCUAAUCAGAAAGCCACGGCUAACUACGUG